CCUACGGGUGGCUGCAGUGAGGAAUAUUGGUCAAUGGACGCAAGUCUGAACCAGCCAUGCCGCGUGCAGGAAGACGGUACUAUGUGUUGUAAACCGCUUUUGUACGAGGGCAAACGCAGAGACGCGUAUCUGUCUGAAAGUAUCUUAAGAAAAAGGAUCGGCUAACUCCGUGCCAGCAGCCGCGGUAAUACGGAGGAUUCAAGCGUUAUCCGGAUUUAUUGGGUUUAAAGGGUGCGUAGGCGGUCGGUUAAGUUAGAGGUGAAAUCCCGGGGCUCAACCUCGGCACUGCCUCUGAUACUGGUCGUCUCGAGAUUGAGAGCGGUAUGCGGAAUGUGUGGUGUAGCGGUGAAAUGCAUAGAGAUCGUACAGAACACCGAUUGCGAAGGCAGCAUGCCGGG
Molecule: ribosomal RNA, 398 nt
Filed under: uncultured bacterium
Lineage: Bacteria
Description: partial 16S ribosomal RNA
Rfam family: Bacterial small subunit ribosomal RNA
Source: RNAcentral